UUCAUUUUAUAAAUACAAUAACCUGAGGCUCUUCAUUGCUGGUGACUCACACAGGCACACACUCAGCAUUGCUGAUGUCAGCUCAGGAUCCAGAAUGCAUUUGAACAAUUCAUGCUAAAUUAAUAAAUGCACUUUAAUAUAGGCCCAUAUUAAUCCCAAAAUAACUAAACCUGUGGAAUUUGUAAAAUAAGAUGUUUAUGAAUGAGGACAUGGCAUUUUGACUUAGUUCUGAUUCCCCCCUUUCUGAAAGCAGAAUCUACAGUCUAUUUUCCCAUUGCUAGAUUUCAGAGGAGAGCCUGGUGUCACUUACAGCAGACAUUGCAGAUGCCUCAGCAUUUCGGAUGAAGACGUAACCAAGGAGCCUUUGAUUAGUAGUGAAAUUGUGGCACCCCAACAAUGGUGGAGUGGAAUAUCCUGCUACUCUGGAGGGGUGAUGGCUCAGGGUCAAGACUGAACUAAUUAGAAAAAGAAAUGCACUCCAGGAAUAUCAAGUCCAAAACGAAGCUCUUCAAACCAUCUGGGAAGAGAAAACAGCAUGACAAGGAAAGGACCCUGAUGUCUGAGGAAGAAGGUUCCCGUCCAGCUCUGCCCCUGGUGUGUCACGUGCCGGCCUUGUCAACGCACAGGAGAACCUGACAGGGUGAGUGUUAUAACCCCAAUCAUAGAAAAGGAAACGUCUCUAAAGUCUUUAGCAUCUUGCCCGAGUUCGGACACUUAGCAGAGGCCUGAGUUUAGAUGCAGCCCCGUCUUGCUCUUUGACAGCCUCAGCACCACGUGCCCUGGGUGACCCACGCAGAGUCACUGACAACCCUCUUGGUUGGCUCAUGGCACAGCGUGGAGCGAAAUGGCCCACUGACUUUUCCAGACACUUUGACAAUUCGUGAUAUAGUUUAUGCGGUCACUCCCAGUGAGUUCUAUUGUUCAGUUUAAUAGAAUACCUAAUUCUGUGUUUAUUAUGAAUAAAGGGAGAUUUCUUGUGGUUUUUAAGAAUAUGAAGGAUAUCUAUUUUGUAUACAAGUUGGAAGUUCCAAUACUAUAGGAAGCAUAAGUGCAGGUUU
RNAcentral lists this long non-coding RNA (1058 nucleotides) under Macaca mulatta (Rhesus monkey). RNAcentral's name for it is "lncRNA (ENSMMUG00000053971.1)". The record is from RNAcentral. Lineage: Eukaryota; Metazoa; Chordata; Mammalia; Primates; Cercopithecidae.